RNAcentral lists this ribosomal RNA (253 nucleotides) under uncultured bacterium. Its description in RNAcentral is "partial 16S ribosomal RNA". It matches the Rfam family "Bacterial small subunit ribosomal RNA", at positions 524 to 776 of the family's 1533-position model. The record is from RNAcentral.
UACAGAGGGGGCAAGCGUUGUUCGGAAUUACUGGGCGUAAAGGGCGCGUAGGCGGCCUGUUAAGUCGAACGUGAAAUCCCCGGGCUCAACCCGGGAACUGCGUCCGAUACUGGCAGGCUUGAAUCCGGGAGAGGGAUGCGGAAUUCCAGGUGUAGCGGUGAAAUGCGCAGAUAUCGGGAGGAACACCAGUGGCGAAGGCGGAACUCUGGGCCGGAACUGACGCUGAGGAGCGAAAGCGUGGGGAGCGAACAGG